This 433-nucleotide ribosomal RNA is filed under the name uncultured bacterium. RNAcentral's name for it is "partial 16S ribosomal RNA". It matches the Rfam family "Bacterial small subunit ribosomal RNA", at positions 29 to 507 of the family's 1533-position model. The record is from RNAcentral.
AACGAACGCUGGCGGCAUGCCUAACACAUGCAAGUCGAACGAGACCUUCGGGUCUAGUGGCGCACGGGUGCGUAACGCGUGGGAACCUGCCCUUAGGUUCGGAAUACCUCCCCGAAAGGGGUGCUAAUACCGGAUAAUGUCUACGGACCAAAGAUUUAUCGCCUUUGGAUGGGCCCGCGUUGGAUUAGCUAGUUGGUAGGGUAAAAGCCUACCAAGGCGACGAUCCAUAGCUGGUCUGAGAGGAUGAUCAGCCACACUGGGACUGAGACACGGCCCAGACUCCUACGGGAGGCAGCAGUGGGGAAUAUUGGACAAUGGGCGAAAGCCUGAUCCAGCAAUGCCGCGUGAGUGAUGAAGGCCGUAGGGUUGUAAAGCUCUUUUACCCGGGAUGAUAAUGACAGUACCGGGAGAAUAAGCUCCGGCUAACUCCGUG